GUGGCAAGCGUUGUCCGGAAUUAUUGGGCGUAAAGCGCUCGCAGGCGGUCCUUUAAGUCUGAUGUGAAAUCUCGCGGCUCAACCGCGAACGGUCAUUGGAAACUGGAGGACUUGAGUACAGAAGAGGAGAGUGGAAUUCCACGUGUAGCGGUGAAAUGCGUAGAGAUGUGGAGGAACACCAGUGGCGAAGGCGACUCUCUGGUCUGUAACUGACGCUGAGGAGCGAAAGCGUGGGGAGCGAACAGGAUUAGAUACCCUGGUAGUCCACGCCGUAAACGAUGAGUGCUAGGUGUUAGGGGGUUUCCGCCCCUUAGUGCUGAAGUUAACGCAUUAAGCACUCCGCCUGGGGAGUACGGCCGCAAGGCUGAAACUCAAAAGAAUUGACGG
This 387-nucleotide ribosomal RNA is filed under the name Oceanobacillus sp. CCH_CBGLBI44C. RNAcentral describes it as "bacterial SSU rRNA". It matches the Rfam family "Bacterial small subunit ribosomal RNA", at positions 531 to 916 of the family's 1533-position model. The record is from RNAcentral. Lineage: Bacteria; Bacillati; Bacillota; Bacilli; Caryophanales; Bacillaceae.